ACAUGCAAGUUGAACGCAACAAAGACACCAGAGCUUGCUCUACCGUCUUUGUUGAGUAGCGAACGGGUGAGUAACGCGUGGGUAACCUGCCUUAUAGCGGGGAUAACUAUUGGAAACGAUAGCUAAUACCGCAUAACAAUAGAGAUUGCAUAAUCUUUAUUUGAAAGUGCCAACUGGUACACUAUGAGAUGGACCCGCGUUGUAUUAGCUAGUUGGUAGUGUAAUGGACUACCAAGGCGAUGAUACAUAGCCGACCUGAGAGGGUGAUCGGCCACAUUGGGACUGAGACACGGCCCAAACUCCUACGGGAGGCAGCAGUAGGGAAUCUUCGGCAAUGGACGAAAGUCUGACCGAGCAACGCCGCGUGAGUGAAGAAGGUUUUCGGAUCGUAAAACUCUGUCGUUAGAGAAGAAUGUUGAUUAGAGUGGAAAAUUAAUCAAGUGACGGUAUCUAACCAGAAAGGGACGGCUAACUACGUG
RNAcentral lists this ribosomal RNA (479 nucleotides) under uncultured bacterium. RNAcentral describes it as "bacterial SSU rRNA". It matches the Rfam family "Bacterial small subunit ribosomal RNA", at positions 53 to 507 of the family's 1533-position model. The record is from RNAcentral.